AUACGGAGGGUGCGAGCGUUAAUCGGAAUUACUGGGCGUAAAGCGUACGUAGGCGGUUGGUUAAGUUAGAUGUGAAAGCCCCGGGCUUAACCUGGGAACUGCAUUUAAAACUGGCGAACUAGAGUUGAGUAGAUGGGAGUGGAAUUUCAGGUGUAGCGGUGAAAUGCGUAGAGAUCUGAAGGAACACCAGUGGCGAAGGCGACUCCCUGGACUCGAACUGACGCUGAGGUACGAAAGCGUGGGUAGCAAACGGGAUUAGAAACCCUAGUAGUCC
Molecule: ribosomal RNA, 274 nt
Filed under: uncultured bacterium
Lineage: Bacteria
Description: partial 16S ribosomal RNA
Rfam family: Bacterial small subunit ribosomal RNA
Source: RNAcentral